ACUAUUUUGGCAGAUAAAGUGCAAUAAAUUUAGAAUUUAUAAAUAUAGUUUAAUUUUACUAUAAAUAGUA
Molecule: transfer RNA, 70 nt
Filed under: Diptera sp. 74 LC-2017
Lineage: Eukaryota; Metazoa; Arthropoda; Insecta; Diptera
Description: tRNA-Leu
Source: RNAcentral